This 582-nucleotide ribosomal RNA is filed under the name Triticum aestivum (bread wheat). RNAcentral describes it as "partial small subunit ribosomal RNA". Lineage: Eukaryota; Viridiplantae; Streptophyta; Magnoliopsida; Poales; Poaceae. The record is from RNAcentral.
AUGAUGGUUAAUUAUAUAUUUUAUAUUAUAAUAAUGCAGAUGAAUCGGCAAUGGAUGUACGGUAACCGACUCUCCCGCGAGUUCACUACGGGUUUGAAAGAUUUCCUCGUAGUGGCUAAUGCGAACAAGCAGAAGGGUUUUGUUAUCUGUCCAUGUGUUGACUGUAAGAAUCAGAAGGGUUACUCUUCCUCAAGAGAAGUUCACCUGCACCUGCUUCGGCACGGUUUCAUGCCAAGCUAUAAUUUUUGGACCAAGCAUGGAGAAAGAGGGGUUAUAAUGGAAGAAGAUGAAGAAGGGGAUGAUUUCAUCGAUGAAAGCUAUCUUGCUCAUUUAGGUGAUACUUUCAUGGAGGAUGCUGAAGGUGAAGGGGAAGGUGAAGGGGCAGGUGAAGGGGAAGGUGAAGGGGAAGGUGAAGGUGAAGGUGAAGAAGAGGCACGUGAUGAGACCGUUGAUGAUCUUGGUCGGACCAUUGCUGAUGCACGGAGACGUUGCGAAACUGAAAAGGAGAGGGAGAAUUUGGAUCGCAUGUUAGAGGAUCACAGAAAUUCGUUGUACCCUGGAUGCGAUGAUGGUCUGAAAAAG